GCGCGAAAACUUUACAAUGCGGGAAACCGUGAUAAGGGAACUCCGAGUGCCCGUAAAAUCGGGCUGUCCAUCUGUUUAAAUAACAGGUGAAGAAAGGGCCGGGCAAGACCGGUGCCAGCCGCCGCGGUAAUACCGGCGGCUCGAGUGGUGGCCACUAUUACUGGGCUUAAAGCGUUCGUAGCUGGUUUGUUAAGUCUCUGGGGAAAUCUUCCGGCUUAACCGGAAGGCGUCUCAGGGAUACUGGCAGACUAGGGACCGGGAGAGGUGAGAGGUACUCCAGGGGUAGGAGUGAAAUCCUGUAAUCCUUGGGGGACCACCUGUGGCGAAGGCGUCUCACCAGAACGGCUCCGACAGUGAGGGACGAAAGCUGGGGGAGCAAACCGGAUUAGAUACCCGGGUAGUCCCAGCCGUAAACGAUGUGCGUUAGGUGUAUCGGUGACCACGAGUCACCGAGGUGCCGAAGAGAAAUCGUGAAACGUACCGCCUGGGAAGUACGGUCGCAAGGACGUGAAACUUAAAGGUAAGUUAGGUCGGGGGAGGCACCGACAACGAGGUGGAGCCGUCGCGGUUUAA
This 573-nucleotide ribosomal RNA is filed under the name uncultured Methanomicrobiales archaeon. RNAcentral's name for it is "bacterial SSU rRNA". It matches the Rfam family "Archaeal small subunit ribosomal RNA", at positions 339 to 905 of the family's 1478-position model. Lineage: Archaea; Methanobacteriati; Methanobacteriota; Methanomicrobia; Methanomicrobiales. The record is from RNAcentral.